GACGAACGCUGGCGGCGUGCUUAACACAUGCAAGUCGAACGGAAAGGCCCUGCUUUUGUGGGGUGCUCGAGUGGCGAACGGGUGAGUAACACGUGAGUAACCUGCCCUUGACUUUGGGAAAACUUCAGGAAACUGGGGCUAAUACCGGAUAGGAGCGCCUGCUGCAUGGUGGGGGGUGGAAAGGUUCGGCGGUUGGGGAUGGACUCGCGGCUUAUCAGCUUGUUGGUGGGGGAGUGGCUUACCAAGGCUUUGACGGGUAGCCGGCCUGAGAGGGUGACCGGCAACAUUGGGACUGAGAUACGGGCCAGAGUCCUGAGGGAGGCAGCAGUGGGGAAUAUUGCACAAUGGGCGGAAGCCUGAUGCAGCAACGCCGCGUGCGGGAUGACGGCCUUCGGGUUGUAAACCGCUUUCGCCUGUGACGAAGCGUGAGUGACGGUAAUGGGUAAAGAAGCACCGGCUAACUACGUG
Molecule: ribosomal RNA, 468 nt
Filed under: uncultured bacterium
Lineage: Bacteria
Description: partial 16S ribosomal RNA
Rfam family: Bacterial small subunit ribosomal RNA
Source: RNAcentral